Molecule: long non-coding RNA, 415 nt
Organism: Suricata suricatta (meerkat)
Lineage: Eukaryota; Metazoa; Chordata; Mammalia; Carnivora; Herpestidae
Exons: 3
Source: RefSeq, a predicted model, not a curated record
GCUACGUCCGCCGGCGCGGGGCUCCCGCGGGGCUCCUGCCGGGAGGCCACGCGGGUGGGGGAGGGGCGCAGGCCGGCGCGCAGGCCCGGGAAACUAGCCGGCGGGGCUUGGCACGCGCGCCCCGCUAAGGGCAGUUGUUUGGGGGAAGGAUUAGUGGUUCCAGAAACCGCCGAGAGGAACUGCCAAUCCAUGUGGCCAGCUGUCACAGGAUUUAAGAAAUGAAAGGAGCAGCCUAACCCAUGCUUCAAACACGUGGCACCAGUAACCCCUGUGCGAUGAUCCUCUUCAUGAUUCAGCUGAAAUAAAUCCAGUGAUAAAGGAGUUGGAAAUUCCAUGCCAGGAAAAGUAAGUCAUCUCUAGUGUGUCACAUUCAUUGCUCUCUAUGCCCCUUCAUUGUUGCACCCAUUCAUCUUCA